GUUUAGGGUUCACUGAGGCUAACUUUGCAUUUCUGGUACUUCGGCUCGUAAAAUAGUCUCGCCAUCACCGUAGUCGACAUUUAUCGACAUUUUAGCAGUAAUAAUACGUAUAGUACGAUACGUUUCCACAUCGAAGCGGUUUUAACUACUAUGAGUUGAUCAGAAAUAAUCAAUUUUAUACAUUAUUUAAAAGACGUAGUCGUUUCUUAUUAUACACUCCUAGCAUUAGCAAUUAGCCUCAGUGAGGCUGUUUAGUCGCGGAGGGAUCUUGCCGCCUGUUUAUGUCUUGUUCAUAUUAUUCAGAGACAUGUUACAUGGUUCUGUUGCCCACGGCGACGAAGACGCGAACAUUAGCAACACGGAAAACAAUAAGCUGGUGGUAAAGUUCAUAGGGGACAGCGAUGGGUUGAACGCGGGCAACAAGGCGAGGCUGAGGAAAGGAGGGAAGAAGCUGCUGCUGCGGACGACGACGGCGCACAAACAGGUAAAAAAUAGUCCCGUCAUCCGCCUGUCUGACCUGAACAACAACAACUCUCUGACGACAUCAUCCGUCAACAAACCCGCCUCUCAACAACAACAACAGCAUCAAUCCAGUACCGAACCUCCGGCGGUCACACACAUGGUUCUGAACCUCCACCAUGUAAAGAAUGGAUCCAGAAAAGAGGUGCUCAAAUCUAAGGGAGGCAGACCAGAGCGUGGGACCACACAACCCAGUCGCCACACGGCACAGAACCUGCCCAGAAGUGACCGUCAUACGUCCCAGAAUGUGAACAACAAGAGCCACAGGCCACGGCUUGACCAACCAGCUGCUGCUGCUGCUCCUCGUGCUGUGAAGAGGAGCGAUCACAGCAGUCCCAAGAAGCCCCUCCCCCCUCACCAGCCUCCAUCACUAGAUCAGAACAAACCGCUCCACACCUCCGACACUGUGAAGCUGCUGUACGGGUCCCCGCCUCCCAAAUCUGCCCCCCCUGAACUCCUCAGGGAUGGAGAGAAAGUGUACGCUGGCGCCAAGUUCAGUGAACCGCCAUCACCCAGUGUCUUACCCAAACCGCCCAGCCACUGGGUUGGAGAGGAGCAGCCCCAGAACGGCAGGCAGAGUCGAGAGCUGAUGGCCGUUCAGCUGAAGUCGCUGCUGAAGGUUCAAGACACGGCGUGACCAUAAACACGGCGUCCAGAAGGACUGUCUACCAUUGUUUCUGAAACGUCUGGACCACAGGAGUUGAGUGAACAGUCAGAGUUCAGAGGGUUCAGAAUUGACAUGAUCUACUAACAUAGGGCUCCACAGGAAGUUGUUUCGUGGACGGACAGACGUGCCGACCGACCGGACCUCCAGACCAACCUUUCUGACAUUUAACAAAAUCAUGCAGUUGUUUGCACAAUGAGAUUUCACCGUCACCAAAUCUUUAAUCUCCUCCCAGAUUCUAACAUCUGCAGUGCAACUGUGAGAUUUCAUCCCCCUGAACCAUUAUUUUUACACGACUUACCCCUUUACCCCAACACUCCUGUGAACCUGAGCAGGAGUCACGAUGCUGCAGAAGGAUCGCAGUGACAGGCUGAGGUCAGUCUGAGGUCACAGGCUGGAACCAUGGGGUUUUUUAGAGAUGAAAGAGGCAGCUCUGCCGAUGUACAGAAUAUAUUGUAAACAUAUAUUGUGUAUAUUUUUUUCUUUGUGGUUGUUUUAACUGAGAUUCUAGUUUUGUUACUGAAUUUCUCUCUCUCUUUUUUUUUUAAACUCCAAAUGUCCCCUGCUAACUGAGGCACUUUCCAAGAACUUCCUCAGUGGAUGUGGGAAAAGACAUUUCCCACUCAUUUGCACUGAUUAUAAAGAAGCAGAAAAGUCCACAAAGCAGAGAUUGUUGCAGCAGCUGUGAUACAACCACCAGCCAGAGAACAGUGGAGAAAAAAGCCUGGAUUCACCACAUGGUGGCGCUACACCCUGCAUCUUUAAGGGUGUUUCAAGGUGCUGCAGUCAAACGUUGACUCUGUCCAGCAGAGUCGGGUGUGAAGACGACAAGGACGACAGGGUGAUGUCCACUUCAACUGAGUGACCCGAACAAAACAAAGGAGGAUGAGGGCUGCGACCCACGGCUUUAUCCAAACCCUUCUCCCUGUGACCCUGAUGCUUUGACAGAAACCGUUUGUCUUUGGUCAGUUUCUCGUCCUUCACCUCAAAUCUUCAGCACCACCGCUGGAGUGUCUGUGACCCUCCUUUGCAAAUAUACUUCACCUGAUGCUGAUUGUAAGGGCGUGACCUGGAUCUUCUGUUCACGUAAAGAACAGGAAAUAGAACUGGGAAAAUAUCUGAAGGGUGACAAAUAUCAAGUCACAGGGAGCUGUUCUCUGGUGAUAAGAAAAGUCACAGAGGACGACGCUGGUCAUUACAGCUGCACAGGCCGUAACAGGACCCACACCCACACCCAGAUGGAUGUUGUCAAAGGUAUGUACUGACUGCAGACCAGGUCCAGUAGGUCCUGGAUCUACUGCAGACCAGGUCCUUACACAUGUCGGCCUCUUGGUAAAAUGAAGGCUGAGCAGAGAAGGUCAGAUAAAAUUCAAAGGAACUGUGUCAUUAGUAUAUUUCAGUGGAAAGUCUCAACCACUACUUUUCCCACAAUGCUGCUGUGCCACAGAGUAGAGAGGAAGUUGAUGGUGUGGACACUUCAGUCGAGUCGCGAGGUCCGUACUUCACUUCAACAUUUAGUUCAACACCACUUCCUGUUAACAGAACUGACCAGAUCUGUGACCCGCUGGUUAAUUAAAGCCAUGUUUACUGGUAGUGUGGAUGGAGUGGGGGGGGGGGGGGGGGGGGGGGGGGACCUCUGUUGGCCUUUCCUUAGUUUCUCUAACGAGGUAGGGCGAGACUGAUCAAGACGUUUGUCCAAGGCAGGCAGCGGUCUUCAGACCUCAGACCUCCAAACAGUACAGCACCAGUACUAGUUGUUUUGUUUUAGACCACAGGAGUCCAAAUGAUACACAGGUUCAUAUGUUCAUGUUUGUGUUUUAUUUUAAACAAAUGAAAAAGAAAUACAUCAACCAAGAGGUUCAUGCCCUCAGCGCUCCCCUUGUGGACACCAUGGGAAUCACAGAGCUCUUUAUCGUCAUGAU
This is an RNA transcript of Cynoglossus semilaevis (tongue sole), 3105 nucleotides long. It is a transcript of the gene named proline-rich nuclear receptor coactivator 1-like, with no coding region annotated. The transcript has 5 exons. The record is from RefSeq and is a predicted model, not a curated record. NCBI's taxonomy places the organism in Eukaryota, Metazoa, Chordata, Actinopteri, Pleuronectiformes, Cynoglossidae.